Molecule: long non-coding RNA, 21145 nt
Filed under: Arabidopsis lyrata
Lineage: Eukaryota; Viridiplantae; Streptophyta; Magnoliopsida; Brassicales; Brassicaceae
Description: long non-coding RNA (ALYR_LNC002280)
Source: RNAcentral
CUUCCUCCUCCUUGCUGGACUAAUACUGCUCAUAGGCAUGGCGUUAAAGUAAGUAAGCUCAAUACUUUUUGAUUUUUUAACAUCAAAAGUUUCGAUUUUUGUUGAGAUAUCUCUGAGUUUGCUGAUUAGGAUGAUAACAUUAGAGAGUUUGAUUGUUUGUGUACAGAGAGAUGAAUAUUGCUGAGGAUUUUAUUGGUAAAAGUGUUUACUUUCUUGUGUGUUAUGGAAUCUUAAAGGUAUUGGGGACUUUCAUCACAGAAUGGGAUGAAGGUAAAGCUACCUGCAAAGAGAUGCUUGCCACAAAAGAGUCUGCUCAGAUGUAUGCAGAGCGUUUGGCAGAACUUGCUACUGCUCUUGGCUUUGAUGGGUGGCUGGUGAGCAUUUUUGUUUGAUUUUUAUGUUCUACUCAAGCAUUUAUAAUGUAAAAUAUCUGCAUUUGUAACACACUGGUGAAGUGGUGUGAAGAAAGGUUUCCUUUAACAUAUAAGAUUGUUACUUGCAGAUUAAUAUAGAGAAUGAUAUAGAUGAGGAGCAGAUUCCAAAUUUGAAGGAAUUUGUAAGCCAUCUAAAAAAAGUCUUGCAAAAAAAGUCUUGCAUUUAUCUACACCUGGGGCGUUGGUUAUAUGGUGAGUUGCUCAGAAGUUUUUCCUUUGUUCUUUUUGUAAUCCACUUUGAUCUGAUAACUUUCUGCAGGUAUGACAGUGUCACUAUUCAUGGUAAUCUUCAAUGGCAAGAUCAAUUGACUGAGCUGAACAAACCUUUCUUUGACUUAUGCGAUGGAAUAUUCAUGAACUAUACAUGGAAGGUCUGUCUAUGGGUUUGAUCAGUUUUUCGAGUCUCAGUUUCUUCUAUAUGUAUUGUUUUUGAUAUUAGUGAGUGAUGAUGUUUCAGGAGAGCUACCCAAAACUAUCAGCUGAAGUUGCCGGGGACAGAAAGUUCGACAUCUACAUGGGAAUUGAUGUCUUUGGCCGGGGCUCUUUUGGUGGUGGGCAAUGGACUGUAUGUCUCGGACACUCUUUAAUAUUUUCUUCUCUGUGUAGAAUACAAAAUAAUGAUCUGUACUUAAUUAUUUCUUUUGGUCCUGUUCUUUUACAUGCUAGGUAAAUGCUGCUCUUGAUUUGCUGAAGAGAAGCAAUGUGUCAGCUGCCAUGUUUGCUCCUGGAUGGGUUUAUGAGACUGCACAACCCCCCAAUUUUCAUACAGCUCAGAAUAAGUAAUACUUUAAAUAUUUUGCAAUUUCCUGGUCAUCUUUGAAGUUUGAACUAGCAUUACUGUGACUAUGAGCUUAAAUUUUAUUCUACUAUUGCUGUAAAGGAGACGCUGGAUCUUAUUAGUAUGCAUGUGUUUUCUCUACAGAUGGUGGUCAAUUGUCGAGAAGUCAUGGGGAAUAGUCCAAACUUAUCCACAAGUCUUGCCUUUUUACUCGGAUUUCAAUCAGGUAAGGUGAAAUUGAUCAAGUCUUGGUUCUUAUUUUGUAACACUAACACCAUGGUAAUUCAUGCAUUGAUUUUCUUGGUUAUGAUUAUGUUCAGAUAUGUUCUGAAACUCUCUUCUCUCUUUUUUGUUCAGGGCUUUGGUUACCAUGUUUCACUCGAAGGUCGCCAACUGUCAGAUGCUCCAUGGUACAACAUAUCUUACCAAAGUCUUCAGGUUCAACCAUCUUACUGUCUUUGAUUUUACACAUAUCUAAUGUUUACAUGAACCAAAAACUUUUCCUGCCACAAUAUGACAAUUGUUCUUCUUGAUCUGCGUUUGUCUCUCCUCUCAUCUGAUCUCCGUGUUUGUUGUGUUUUUCACAUCAGCCUCUCUUAGAAUUCAAUGAAGAAGACAACAAAGAUAUCAUCCACGUCACUGUUGAGUGAGUUCUGGCCCUAAUACUAUCCCCAUAUUUAUUUCGGCAAGAGCAAAAAGGGAAAAAUGUUUUUGACAAUUCUGAGCAAACAUUUAAACAAUUACUAUGAAUUUGAUAGUGCUCGAGAGGCAUCUUUUAACGGAGGAGGGAACAUCGCUUUUAGAGGAAAACUCAAGGGAGAUGCGUAUUUCACAACAAGGCUCUUCAAACCCCAUCUUCAGCUUUCAUCUUCCCCCAUCACAAUCUCCUACUCUGUAAGUCUCUGCUUCUAGAUACAUCACAUUAUGAGAUCUUGUUGUUUUUACUCAUGGAGGAUUUUGGAGCUGGUGCAGGUGAAAUCAGAUGAAACCUCUAAACUUGGAAUCCUGCUUUCUUUCUCAUCUCCGUCACAGGAGACGAAAUCCAUUCUCGUUGCUCCACAAGAUUCCAUCCGUAGAUUCAACGGCAUGUUCUCACAGUGUCUCGCCACAUCAGCGCAGACUGUAUCCGAGUGGACGGUACACGAGACAAGCCUUGUCAUGGAUGGUCACACACUGACUGAAAUCUCUGCCUUUUGCUACAGACCAGAUAAUUCGACAAAGAGUGCAGAAUAUGUUGCAUUGCUGGGACACAUCUCAAUCAAAGAUCAUGUUCAGUCCCAGCAUAAACCCGAGACUUUACUUCCAGCAUCACCGUGGGUCAUCGAAGCUCAUAACAUAGAGCUUGUACAGGGUAAUUCUGGUUCUAAGAGCCUCAGGGUUAAGCUAGAAUGGAGACAGAAAGACCUUGAAGAUUCUGCAUUCCCAAAGUACAAUGUGUAUGCAGAGAAUGUGAAGUCGACUGAUCUAAGAUCGAGGAAGGUGCUAGAGAAACCGAUAAGUGAGACAGUGUUCCUUGGAGUCGCUCACGUACCAGCCUAUUACGUAGGGGAACUGGUGGUAGAAUCAGACGUGAAAGGAGUCCGCUUCGUAGUUCAAGCCUGUGGCAAAGAUGGUUCAUGGGCCAAUUUGGAUGAUUCCCCUAAGCUUCUAGUUGAACUGGAAGGUCUCUCGUUUCAAGAUUCGUCGUAGGUUGUUGCUUUGCUUCACGCCAAAAUCUAAAAACUGUGAAACAAUAAAUAUUGAAAAAUCCUGACCCGAAAAAUAUUGUAAAAUCAAGUACAUCUAUUUUUUUUUUUUUUUUUUCAUUGGAAGAUUUUAUAUUAUACGAAAAGUGUUACAACGUCGAAUACAAAGCCGGAUAAACCGGAAACAAAGCCCAAGAGUGAUAUGGGAAACCAAAGCCCGAGAGUGAUACGGGAAGCUAAAGCCCUAGAGUUUUAAGGGAAACUAAGCCGGCAUGAACUACUCAUCCGGAGCCAUGAGAUUACAUACAAAACCUUAAACAAACCUUAAAACACUACCACCAAAAGAAGGAACAUGAAGGCCCACACUCGCAAUCACCAGAAAGUGCGGAAAGAGCGGUAGACGCGGAGCUACAAAGCUCACAAGCAGCCGCUGAGGCAAGGGGAAACCGCGAAGAAAAGAACCAAAUACGACGAUUAACAAGACCAAAGAACCACGAACGAGAAUCUCAAAUCCUAUCCACCAAAACUUCAACCAAAAGAGUCUUAAAUCUAGAACUUUGCAUCCCCACAAAAGGUUAGCCUUACAAGAACUGACCAAAAAAGACUAUAAGAAAACUGCUUAUUCAACUAAUCUAAAGGCAGUGGAAGGACGGUUUUUAAAGAUUCACCGAAAUAAAGGAUGCUAAACCCUAGCCAUACAAACGACUAAGCACACACAAACCAAUGACCCACGAGAGUAAUCCAAAACAGCGGUAGACCCAAAGUACUAAGGCCACCAUCAAGCAAACCGGGGAUAUACCAAACAAGCUUGACUUAGACCCAAAGUACUAAGGCCACCAUCAAACAAAAUCAAGUACAUCUAUAAAACUAACAAAAACUUGUCAAUAGUUUUAAAAGGAAAUGCAUCCGAAUUUUACAUUGUGAAUAAUAAAACCAUAAACCAAAUUUAUUCAUAUUUCUCAGCCAAUGCAGAUUUCUGAAUUAUAUCGAACCAAACAAUAAAAAAAAAUGCAUGAGUCACAGAUGACAGAUCAAUAUCAUCUUGCAACAUUUUGGUUUUUUUUUUUUUGUUGAUUAAUUUCCUACUAUUUAUAUAAACCAUCGUUUUCAAGGGUUUCCUUAUCAUCAUCUUACAUUGGAUAAAUUAUAAAUACAUGACGCCUUAUUUAGUCAAGGCUAUUCUAGAGACACCACACGUAUGCCACAAGCCUUUUCUCCUUUUUACACGUGUCUAACAAACAGACAACCACGUCAGCCCCAUCCCUAGCCCAUCGCCGUUUCAUAAACCUCUCUCCGUUCGCUUACUCCGUCCGACGUCUACAAAGAUUCUCAUCUUCGUUGAUUUCUCUCUCUAGAUCUUACAAAACAAUGUUGCUCAAGGCUUCUCCCGCUCUCUCUCUCUUGAGCUCCACCGGCGGUGGAAAUCUCUUUCCGCCGUCGAGAAAUUCGUCGAAUCUUCUGUUUUCUCCGAGUGGAUCUAGGUUUUCUGUUCAGGCGGCGAAAGGAACCAACACGAAGUCGUUAACCGGAGUUGUAUUCGAACCUUUUGAGGAGGUGAAGAAAGAACUGGAGCUCGUUCCCACUACCCCUUUUGUUUCUCUCGCUCGCCACAAGUUCUCUGACGAUUCAGAAUCUGCCAUCAACGAUCAGAUCAAGUAUGUUCUCUCGCUUAGUUUUUGCUUUAAUCUAUCUAUCUUUUUUUCGAAUCUCUUCUCUAAUAAUCAUCCCAAAUCGAAAAAUGUUGAAGGAAUCAGAAUCCUGUUUAUUCAGCCUUAAGAUUUCAUUGAUUGAAUAAUAUCUUCCCAAAUGAUCAUCCUUUUCUACUGAUUCAGCUUCGAUUCACUUAUCAUGGUGCUGCUGAUCUGAAUCGCAAUUGUUCAUAUCUUGCUUUUAAUGAUUUUGUUCGUGGGAAUCGAGUUAGCUAGGUUGGUACGUGACCAUGUGUAUGAAUCUUAACGUCUCUUAUUUGCUUUUUGUGAAUCUUAGUGUGGAGUACAAUGUCUCCUAUGUCUACCAUGCCCUGUAUGCUUACUUUGACAGAGACAAUGUCGGCUUGAAAGGUUUCGCCAAGUGAGUUUCUUCUUUAGUCUAAUGAAAAACCGUAGUUUUGUCUUUUCAGCUGGUGGAUCAUCUUUUUGUUAUUGUUGUGGGUUUAACUCUGAUAGGUUCUUUAACGAUUCGAGUCUUGAAGAACGAGGUCAUGCUGAGAAGUUUAUGGAGUAUCAGGUAUCAUUUCAAAAAUCUACCAGGUUAUGGACCUUUCAUAGUGUUUCUUAUGUUUGAUGGAUUUGAUUUUCAGAACAUGCGCGGUGGGAGAGUGAAGCUGCAGUCUAUUUUGAUGCCCGUCUCUGAGUUUGAUCACGAGGAGAAGGGAGAUGCAUUGCAUGGUAAGUUUCAUCAAGCUUUGUUGUAGCAGCAGUUUGGUAAUCUUUGAGAGUAAUAUAGAUCUUAGUAAGCCUCAUAUAUUCUACCACUAUCAAAUUUUAUUAUCAAGCUCUUUGUGAUUUUGACUCUUCCCUGAAUCAGCGAUGGAGCUUGCACUGUCUUUGGAGAAACUUACUAAUGAAAAGCUUCUGAAGUUGCAAAGUGUAAGGACCUUAUCUUUUCAUCAGUUAUUUCAGUAUCACAGAGCACACUUUGACAGUUAAAACUUAAAAAAGAUGAUUAGAUUAAUCUCUCUCCCCUGUUUGAUCCUGCAGGUUGGUGUGAAGAACAAUGAUGUUCAGCUGGUUGAUUUUGUAGAAUCCGAGUUUCUCGGCGAGCAGGUAAAAACAAAAGUUUUCACAUUAUUAUUACUUCAAAAUACGUACCGAUCCUCAUGUACUUGGUAAAAACAGGUUGAAGCCAUCAAGAAAAUCUCAGAGUACGUUGCACAGCUAAGAAGAAUAGGAAAGGGUCAUGGUAAGUCCUUAAAAACCCCUCAAAGAUAAACCUCAAAACUGCAAUUGCACUUUCUUUUGGGUGUUUCAUUAAAUCGCCUUCCGGUGUGAAAACUGCAGGAGUGUGGCAUUUUGAUCAAAUGCUUCUCAAUGAGGUUUAAGGAAAAAGAGUUCAGCUUUUGAGUUAGCUCACAAUCUUCCUUGUGCUGUACGGCACCGUUCUAUCUUUAUAACGACGUCUCUAAGUUUGGUCGGAGAAAAGUUGUUUUGCUCGUUCUUUGUUUUCUUUGUUUUGGUCAACCGAAUGCUUGAGAGUUGUGAGUGGUAAUACUCAAUAAAUGUAACUUGUAGUCUGAUAAUAAAUGCAAGUCCCACUGCUUCAAUGCCAUAAAUAUGUUUUAUUUGACACAAAAGUUCGGAUUUAAUUAUCACAUCAUAAAUAUCCUGAUCCCGAAACUCCGAAAUUUUGGAAUGGAUCUCGUAGCAAAGUACGUGUCGUUUAUGACAUAUCGAAACGGCAUGGCGUUGGAAAAACUGUCUCUUGAAGAAACCACUAAAAGCAGAGCCAAAAUUGGAGAAUACCAAACGACUUCAAAACUUUAAGCUUUAUUCAAGGAAAAAAAAAAGCUCUUCUUCAAUGGAAAAUGUUCCAGCUUCCUCCCCGACCAAACCACACUUUUUCCAGCCUCUUCUUCCUGGAUUCCACAGCCACCUCGUACUCUCUUUGUCUCAUUCACUCUCUUUCUCUGAUAUGCAUGAAUCUGUUUAUUUCAUCUCUGAUCUCUCUCUCUCUCUCGAUUUCUUUAAUUUGUUGCAGAACAUUCCCAUGGCCUUCUUCUCAAGGUACAUAGAUGGAACAAAAAACGAGGGCAAUGCGGUGGUGAAGCUGAGAUCGAACGCUUCUGAUAUAAACUGGCAAGUGAAGAUGGACGGUCGAAGACUCACCCAAGGCUGGCAAAAGUUCGCCACCAGUCAUGAUCUUCAAGUCGGCGACAUAGUUGUUUUCAGACAUGAUGGAGAUUUAUUAUUCCAUGUCACAUGCUUGGGACCAAGCUGCUGUGAAAUUCAAUAUGAUAACGAUGAUGAUGUCAUUCAAAUAUCCUCUGGUACGAAUUACCUCUUUCUGUUACUGUUGAGUGAAUUAGUGAUAACCAGUAUUGGCCAUCGGCUUAAACUUGAGCUCAAUUUAGUUGUAAUUGGUCAAAUAAUCAAUUAUUCUCAACUCCAAGAUUCAGUUUCUCAUUGUUGCCCAAAAAAAAAAAAAAAAAGAGAGUCUAAAUUCUCAUUCAAAGCUGAAACAGAUUCAGAUUCAGAUUCGAAGAAGAAUGAGAACACAACAGAAGGAGGAACUUCAUCAGAUCACUCUUGUUUUAUAACUCGUGUCACCGAGUCAAAUCUAAGCAAAGAUAUGCUGGUAAAUAAUUUGCUACUGCAUUUACAAAUCUUGUGCUUAAAGAAGAGUUUUCAUAGUCUCUGUAAGCUUUUCAGUUUCUUCCUAGCGACUUCUCAAGGUCUAAUGGUCUUAAGAAACGUCAGUGUGAUAUCACUCUGUUGAAUGAAGAUGGAGAACCAUGGACAUUGUUCCUGACUUACCACAAAUCACGAUUCAAUCGGGUUUACAUAAGAAGUGGUUGGAGAAGUUUCUGCCUCGCAAAUGGGAAAAGAGCCAACAGUGUAUUGACUUUUAAACUUGUGCAAGCUGCUACAACACCUGUUCUCCAGUUAUGUUCUUCUUCACUUUCAACGAGCCAAAACAGAUUCUUGACACUAACUCUCACACCAUACAACCUCAAGAACGAUAAACUGGUAGGUAGGUUUUCAUCAAUUAUUUCAACAUUGUAGUCGAGAGUUUUUAAUGUUUUCAAGUCUUUGUGGCAGUGUCUACCGAUGACAUUUGUGAAAGCGAAUGGUAUCGAGAAUGAAGAGAAGAUAACUCUUGUGGAUAGGUAUGGUAUCAAAAGGACGACAAGUCUUAAACUUGAGGACGAAUAUGGAAGAAUGAGAUUGGGAAAAGAGUGGAGAGAGUUCUGUGAUGUUAAUGGAGUGAAUAUAGGUGAGUCCUUCAAGCUGAAACUCAUCAAGGAAAAAGAAGAUACAGCUACUCAUCUACUUAAGUUCUGCUCCAAAGUCUUUCCCUGAGUUUGUAUUGCUUCUGUAGUACCUACUUGAAAUGUAUUUUGUUUUGUGGUUUUUGGCUGGCUUGUAACAAGGCUUUCACGGUUUGAGAUGAACAACGGAAAGCAAAUACAUUUGUUUUUCCUUAAAAAUUUCAUUGGCAUUGUAAACAAUUUGUUCAUCUCAUCAAAAGCUUCUUUGGUGCUCUAAGUUGGUUCAAACAGAUCAUCACACUUGUCUGAUUCGAUAGAUGUCAACAUUUGAGCUGGCUGGUUCUUUUCAUGUUCCAUCCAGCUCGUCAUUAUCCUCAACUAUUGAGAAACUUCUAGCAAGAUGUGGCGUUGUCUCUGAUGCUAAUUUUCCCCUGUUUUUUUUUUUUUUUGAGUUUUUUGACCUCUUGAGGCUAACAAAAGCUACAGGCUCACCAAAACAUGUUGUUUAUGUCUUCCAUAGCUUCCUUUAAGUUGAUUGUUAGAUCUAAAAGGACAUGGUGACAUACAUUUUCAAGUUAUGGCCUCAUUAGAGAUGGUUAAACUGGAAUCUGGCCAGAUGAGGACUGUCUUUGUCUUGUUCUUCAGAGCUCCUAAGAGUAAUCGCUUCAUGAACACAAACAAAAGCUUUGUCAUCCAUUAUACCAGCCUAAUCAUUAUUUUCAUCUGUAGUCUUGCUUUCCUCUUGCCUCUGUUUCAUUUUGCAGAUCCUUAAUUACUUUUCUUAUCCAGUGUCAAAUAACAAAACCACUUAAAUCCAAAAUAUAUCUCGUUUGAUUACGUCCCUAAUAAAUAUAUGUGAUUAGCUCUAAUGUUUUGCUAUUCUUUUGUAUGUUGUCCCCUAUUAGUCAAUGACUCAAUUGGAGCCUGCAAAGUUCAUUUUCACUGAUUAUUUGCUACACGACAACGUUUUAAGAAGCAAGAGACCUCACUAAAACCCUCUACACGAUCUAGAAGGUUACAGAGACGGCUGUGGACUUUUUAUAGUCGUCAAAUUGCUUCCUCGAUUUGCCGAAAGCUCGAAAUCGUACUCUCAGUCGCUGCUAUCUCUCUGUCUCAUGGCGAAUCCGACGGAGAAUCUCGACGCGAAUCUACCAAUCCGAGAACCAGAAACUGAAGAAGAAGUUGAAGAACUUAACGGAGGCGAAGAAGAGGAGGAUUACGAAGGAGAAGACGAUGACACCGAGUCGAAAUCUCAAACGCGCGAAGGCGGAUCCGACAGAAUCAAGGCGGAAUCGCUAUUCCGUCGGAUGCGAGCUGCUCCUGUGCCGGUUCGUGUUCACGACGUGAUUGUCAGUGGAAACGAGAAGACUAAGGACCAUAUCAUUGAGGCGGAAGUGGAUGCUGUGAGAGAGGCGACCACGUUGCAGGAGCUUCUCGAAGCUUCUAGGGUUGCCAAUUCGAAUCUCCGAGCGUUAGAAAUUUUUGAUUCCGUCAACAUUACACUCGAUUCUGGUCCUCCUGAGCUUCCUGGUACUACCAAUGUGGUAAUCGAAGUUGUCGAGAGCAAAAGCCCUCUCACUGGCCAAAUCGGCGCCUACACUAGAGCAGAGGUAUUGCUUUAUAGUAACAAUUCACUGCUAUGUUUCAUUUGAGUUGGUUUAUUGGGUAUUGGUUUCUAUAGAGUUGAAUUUGUUAUCUUCAUGUAGCUGUUUUUUGCAUCUCCAUCAACAUAUACUAUGAUUCUCUUGUAGGCUAGAUCAUCGAGCGUUGAAGCAUCUUUGAAGUAUAAGAACAUUUUUGGUUAUGGUGAUAUAUGGGACGGGUCUGUAGUUUAUGGAUGUGACAACUCUGCUGAGGUUGGCUUGGGGAUGUAUUUACCAAGGUUUAGAGGACUUUCUACUCCUUUUACUUCCCGUCUUUUCCUUUCGACUCAAGACUGGCUUAAGUUUUCAUCGUAUAAAGAACGAUCCCUAGGUCUUUCUCUCGGUCUUCUCUCAAGCAAGUAUCACGAGCUGGUCUACACGAUUGCUUGGCGUAAUCUGAUAGAUCCAUCACAAGCCGCUUCAAAAUCAAUAAGGAGGCAACUGGGACACAGUCUGCUUUCUGCAUUGAAGUAUACUUUUAAAUUUGAUCAGAGAAACUCAAACUUGAGGCCAACUAAUGGAUAUGCUUUCAUCUCUACUUCUCAAAUUGGUGGUCUUGCUCCUGAUAGCCGAAGCCUACGCUUCUUGAAGCAGGUUGGUCUUCUCUUCUUUCUUGUUGCCAACAUUUACAUGAACUUUAUUUAAGUUUGGAAAGUUCUAAUUUCUUACACAGCAAAUUCUAUGGUACCAAUCCCUUGUUUUCAUACAUACCUUAUGUCUGAAAUUUAUUCUCACUGUGAGAGGAAAUAACAAGAAUCUUAGACCUCUGAUACUUUUAGCACCCAUUGUCAUUUGUUUUCUCAGGAAAUUGAUCUUCGAUAUGCUGUUCCGUUCGGGUUUUACAAUGCUGCUCUAAACUUUGGCGUGUCUGGGGGUGUCACCUUUCCGUGGGGAAGCGGAUACCAGAACCGCCCUUCCUCUGUACCAGAGAGAUUCUUCUUGGGUGGCAAUUCAUCGCCUGUAUGCUCUUUGGGUGGACCAUCCGCACUAUGGGGAUUCAAGACCAGAGGACUUGGUCCCAACGAGCCAAAGAGGAAAGGUGAUAGUGAACGGGAUUUUGUUGGAGGAGAUGCUGCGGUGACUGCAUUUGCGGAUCUCUCAUUUGAUUUGCCAGUGAGAUGGUUAAGAGAGAGAGGAAUCCACGGGCAUGUGUUUGCUUGUGCGGGGAAUAUGGCAAAGUUAUCAGAGAAUGAGUUUAGAAACUUCACUGCUCCAAAGUUCUUGGAGACAUUCAGAACUUCAGUUGGUGCUGGAAUCGUCUUACCAACUAGUCUAUUCCGUAUGGAGGUUUGGUUCUCAUCACUACUCUCCCUUAUGCAUUUUUAUCGAAUGAAAGUGCAGUGAUUAACACCAAAAUUAUCCAUCGUUUUGUUUUGUUUUGAGACAGCUUAACUACUGCCACAUAUUGAAGAAACAAGAACACGAUCAAGCGAGAUCAGGGGUUUUCGUGACAUUCUCUGCCUCGUCCUGAGAAACUUUAGCUGAAGAAGGUACUCAAUAUGAUAUGGCCUUUCAUUUUGUUUUUUUUUUCUUAAAGCCGUGUCCCAAUGUGUGGCAGAAUCUUUGGCUGAAUCGAGAAAACUUUACAAAGAGAGUUGAUUCUUUUUGUCGUGUUUGCAUGGAUUUCUCAUUUCUGGAUUCACGAGGAAUAAAAAUUACAUUAAGGCUCUUAACUUUUUAGGAAAAAUUGAUGCUGAUGAACUCAUGACGCUGUCUAUCAUUACGAGGACUAGUGUUCUAGUAACAAGUCAUCUCUACUUGAAUUCUUUUUCUUGGUUAUCUGUUACUGUCUAUUUAUUGAGACUUGUUUUCUUUUGUAAUAUCUAUAUCCUCACCAGAUUUUUGUCUUCGCUAAGACGUUCGUAAUAGUAAUUAUUUAUUGGGUAUACCAUUUAAUUUGGUUGGCCAAACAAGACCAAAAUGUGUGAAAAUUUAUUAUUCAACACAGACUUUUACUCUCGCGUAGAAAGACUUGUUAUAUUUGUUGAUUUAUCUUUCUGGAGUAGAGUCUAUUAUUAUGUAUGUAUACAAAGAGAUGAUCAUGAAAUGUUUACCUACCAUCACCAUCACAUGUCUAGAGAAAUUGCAGCGAGACACAACCGAUCUUCCUGUGUGAGUUAUCUGUGCCAAUCUCAGAUUCGCUGGCAUGAUCGGAAAUUAGGGCUCUUGCACUUCUUUGUCAGUGAUAUGUGAUUCUUUUCAAAAAGGGGAAUAUUUAUACUCUUCUGCGGCAUGUGGUCAAAUGGGCCUGCGUUUUAUUUAUAUCCUCCUAUAUUGUUGGGCCUUAGCCCGAGUUUUUUCCGGAUUUUCGGGCAAUGAAUUCUUGACGCUGUCGAUCAUUUAUGAAAAUAACACAACAGCUAACAUCUUUGUCUAGCUAAUCUUAGGGACUGUAAAAGUCAUCUAAUUUGGUUGGAAAAAACAAAAAUUUGACGUUUCCCGUACGUAACUAAAGUAAAGACAAAAUGUGUGGAAAUUGACUAUUCAACGCAAAGACUUACGUGAAGAACACUUGGUAGAAAGACUCGUUAUAUAGUGCGACUGGGCAUGAAACCAUGUUAUUUACUACCAAAAUUUCCACUUUCUUUUCAUUAUCAAUAUUCAAGAGAAUUGGACUAGCGUAAAGAAAGAUGAAAGGCUUCUGUAACUCAACGAGUAUCACUCCUAUUACUCUUUCUUUUCUUUUCUUACUCAUUUGUAUUUUUCGAGAUGUGUUUGCGGUUCCUACUAGACACUUGUGUCGUCCCGAACAAAGGGAUGCACUUCUCGAGUUCAAGAACGAGUUUAAGAUUGGGAAGCCUAUUCUUCAAUGUACUGGCGUACAUCCAAAGACGGAGUCAUGGACCAAUACCAGCGAUUGUUGUAAUUGGGAGGGUAUCACGUGCAAUGCCAUCUCUGGGGUAGUGAUUGAGCUAGACCUUAGUUGCAGUUGCUUCCAUGGCAAGUUAGUUGCUUCCAUGGCAAGUUACAUACCAAUAGUAGUCUUCAAAACCUUCAUUCUCUAACCACUCUAGACCUUUCAUUUAAUGAUCUGAAUGGUCAAAUCCCGUCUUCGAUUGGAAACCUUUCUCAUCUAACCUCUCUCCAUCUUUCUAGUAACAGUUUGGUAGGUGAAAUCCCAUCUUCUUUUAGCAAACUAAACCAUUUGGCCAGCUUAGAUAUUUCUUCCAACAAGCUCAGUGGAAACUUCCCCAUUGCCCUACUGAAUUUGAUAGGGUUGUCAGAUUUAUCACUCUCCAACAAUCAGUUCACAGGCACGCUUCCUCCUAACAUCACUUCACUAUCUAACUUAAAAUUCUUUCACGCCAGUGGAAACUCUUUCGUUGGAACUAUCCCUUCUUCUCUCUUCACUAUUCCUUCUUUAGCUUAUGUUGACGUAAAAGAUAACCAACUUAACGGCACUCUUGAGUUUGGGUAUAUAUCUUCACCAUCUAACCUACAAUGGUUAUACAUUGGCAACAACAACUUCGAAGGCAUGGUUCCUCCUAACAUCACUUCACUCUCCAAGUUGGCGGUUUUUGAUGCAAGUGACAACAAUUUUACUGGAAGCCUUCCUUCUUCUCUGUUCACAAUUCCUUCUUUGACUUAUAUUGAUUUGAGAGAUAACCAACUCAAAGGAACUUGAGAGUUUGGGAAUCUAUCUUCACCUUCUAACCUAGAAGUGUUAGCCAUUGGGAACAACGUAUUCAAAGGUCCAAUUCCGAGAUCCAUUUCCAAACUAGUCAACCUUAGGCUACUUGACCUUUCUCAUUUCAACACCCAAGGCCCAGUUGAUUUUAAUAUCUUCUCGCAUCUCAAGUCGCUCCAAGAUCUUGACAUAUCCCAUUUGAACACUACAACUACAAUGGACUUGGAAGAUAUCUUAUCAUAUUCCAAGAGACUUUGUUCAUUGAAUCUCUCAGGCAACCAUGUUUCAGCCACAAACAUAAGUUCUGUUCCACAAUUGAUAUAUUCUUUGCACUUGUCAGGCUGCGGUAUCACUGAGCUUCCAGAGCUCCUAAGAACCCAAAACGGAAUGGUGAUUAUAGACAUUUCCAACAACAAAAUCAAAGGUCAAGUGCCUGGCUGGUUAUGGACGCAACCAUUUUUGGAAUAUGUGAAUCUGUCCAACAACACUUUCGUCAGCUUCGAAAGACCAGCAAAAUAUGGGCUAUCCCCAUUUAUGCAGCAUAUUUUUGGCUCCAACAACAAUUUCAGUGGAAAGAUUCCUUCUUUCAUAUGCUCGUUACAUUCUCUAAGCAUUCUCGAUUUAUCUGACAACGACUUUAGUGGUUCAAUACCUCGUUGUUUGGUAAAUCUCAAGAUCAGUACUCUUUCAGUUCUAAACCUUCGCCAGAAUCGUCUUAGUGGAGGUCUUCCAAAGAAUAUAUUUGAAAGCCUAAGGUCGCUUGACGUCGGCCAUAACCAACUUGUGGGAGACCUUCCAAGAUCUUUGAGAUUUUUCUCUACUCUUGAAGUUUUGAACGUGGAAAGCAACAGAAUCAAUGACACAUUUCCGUUCUGGUUGAGUUCUCUGCCGGAGCUACAAGUUAUUGUCUUGCGCUCUAAUGCAUUCCAUGGACCUAUACAUGAAGCCUCGUUCCCUAAGUUGCGAAUCCAUCGACAUAUCGCAUAAUCACUUCAAUGGCACUUUGGCAACAGAGUACUUUGUAAGAUGGAUGGCUAUGUCAUCACUUGGGACAAACAAAGAUCGGUCUGACCAAAAGUACAUGGGAGAUGAAUCUGGCUAUUACCAUGAUUCAAUGGUUUUGAUGAAUAAAGGUAUAGAGUUGGAGAUGGUACGUAUCCUUCAAAUCUACACAGCAGUCGACUUUUCGGGAAACAAAUUUGAAGGAGAGAUUCCAAGGUCUAUCGGUCUAUUGAAAGAGCUUCAUGUGCUCAACUUGUCAAACAAUGCUUUCACUGGCCACAUCCCUUCAUCUAUGGGAAACCUGACAGCUCUCGAGUCGUUGGACGUUUCCCAAAACAAGCUUUCAGAAGAAAUCCCACAAGAGCUAGGGAACCUCUCGUUCCUUGCGUACAUGAACUUCUCUCAUAACCAGCUUGCAGGUCUAGUUCCAGGAGGCAAUCAGUUUCAAACGCAGCCGUGCUCUUCCUUUGAAGAUAACCUGGGACUUUUCGGCUCUUCUCUUGAAGAAGUUUGCAGAGAUAUUCAGACGCCAGCAUCGCAUCAACAGAAUGAAACGCCGGAAGCAGAGGAAGAAGAAGAAGAGGUGAUUAGUUGGAUAGCAGCUGCAAUAGGAUUCAUACCUGGUAUUGCCUUGGGUUUAACGAUUAGAUACAUAUUGCUUUCCUACAAACCAAAGUGGUUCAUGAACCCUUUUGGCCGAAACAUUCGUAGAAGCAGAAAUACCACAACUCACUAGAGAGGUAAUGUUCUGACUUCUAAACGGAUUUGUUAGCAAACAUUAGAAUCUUGUUACUAAAGCGUUUCAUUAUUUUUAUUUUGAAUAGGCUUUUAGAACCUAUCUGGGAGAACUCCAGGACGUCGACCAACCACUCUUUUAGUAACUAAUACUAUGUCCAAAUCCAGAUUGGUUUAGCUUUGUGUUUUUUUUGUUUCAAACCUAAAGUUACUCUCCCUUCAGACGGACAUGUAUAUUUGUUCGUUUCAAUUAAGACACAGAAAAACAGAGCAAUUAUAGAAUUUUGGAAUAUUUUGAUCAAAAAUCCAUUUACUAUAUUUUGAUAAAUUAAACCUUAUACAUGGAUAUAUUCGAAGUCAGUUGUGUGUUGUUCCUUAUUUUACACCAACCUCUUUUAUUCUCCAAAUUUUCAAGGAAUUUACAACAAGAAUGGACAAGUGUGUUUUGAUGAUGAGUUUUUAGGGUUUUGUUUUGGCUUAAGGAGAGGAAGCUCUGUGAACUACUAGAAAAGAUUAGGCAAGCCUCUGAUAUUAUUAUAAUCUAUAGUGGGAAAGGAAUGGAAAGCAUUACAUUUUAGUGUUAAUUUACGAAAUGACAAGAUAAGAAGAUUUGUUAAGUUGCUAUUAGCAAUUUCUUAAAAUUGUUACUAGUUUUGUACAUGUGUACUAAGGUUAAGAGAUUACAAGAUUCUUUGGAUUUGUAGUUAAGUUGUUAUUAUCAUUUUGUGUACUCAUUCACAAAGGUUAAAAGAUUACAAAAUUCUUUGGAUUUGUAGUUAAGUUUUAAUUGUCAUUUUGUGUACUCAUCAUUAUAAGGAUGAAAAGAUUUUAAGAUCCUUAACAUUUUUGAAUGUUUGAUUUAAGAAAAGAACUUUAAGUUUUGCGUUGAUUUUUUCUUGUUUAUUGGUAUAUUCGCAACCAUAAUGAAUGAUGAGUAGAAGAGGAAGCCAAAGAAAGAAGAGAAAAAUGGAUAGUGAAGGGGACGGUGGCGGUGGUGGUGGGCUUCUCAUUCUCUCACUUUUCUUGUCAAAUGUCUUGUCUUCUCCAUUUCCACACUCCAAUUUUAUAUGCUACCUGUGAUUUUAUUUAUUUAUUUAUUAUUCGACUUCUUUUACUUCCCUCAAAAGUAUGCAUUAUCUACAAUAAGAACCAAAGAUGCUAUAAGCUCAAAAUUCUAUUUUGUUUUAAGCAUCAUCACCCACUUUGUAAGAAAAUUCCACUUGGAUUUGGAGCAAUGUGAAACCUAUUUUGUAUUUUCCUUGAUUGACUUGUUUCAUCUAAUCCAAAGUCUUGCUUCUCCUUUUUUUUUUUUUUUUUUAUAAUGUCCACAAUCUCAAAAGAGAAAAUUAGCUUAUUAGUUACUUUUACUCUCUCUAUCUCUAUAGUACGUUAUCCUUUGGUUUUUUCAACAUUAUACUCAAAGCUCAUUACCAAAAUCUCAAAGAUAAACCAGUAUAUGAUUAUGAUUUAUGGCCUCGAACUCACGACCAAUCAUGUAAUUAGCAAGAAAAAGCUCAAGCCAACACAAAUGAUGAAUAGGCCCAUGCCUUGUCCCAUUUGUUCCCUUCUCUCUAUUACUUUCAAAAACACUCUUCUUCACAAAAAGUUAAAAGAGUCUUAUUAAUAUAUAAAGGAAGCACGAGAUAAAACUUAGAAAAACGAGAGCCUAACAUUUACCACCAAAAAAUCAAAACAAUCAAAAAAAGUUUGAGAUGAGAGGGCAUGAGCCACGAUCAAGCUCAUCUUGUGCAGCCUGCAAGCUCUUGAAGAGACGAUGCACACCCACUUGCAUUUUCGCUCCUUAUUUCCGCUCAAGUGACUUGAUAACUUUCGCCAAAGUCCAUAAAGUCUUUGGAGCCAGCAACGUCAGUAAGCUUCUCGGUGAGGUCCCUGAAGAACAGAGACAAGAAACCGUUAACUCCUUGGCUUAUGAAGCUGAGGUUCGUCUCAAGGAUCCUGUUUACGGUUGCAUUGGAGCCAUAGCGUCUCUGCAGAAGAAGAUGCUCGAGCUUCAACAUGAUCUAGCCGUUGCUCGCACUCGACUACUUGCCCAUUCUGGGGUCACCAACCAAGUGUCCCCUUUGGAUGAUUCUCCUGAGCUUGCUGCUUUUCUUGAUCUUGUACCUUACAGUGACUUGAUGUUGCUUGAUGGGUCUAGUCUUGAUGCUUACUUGUAUGAUCUUGGACAGCCUCCUUUUGUAUAGGCCUUAUCUCUCUAUCAUAUAUCUGUUUAUCAGCUGUAUUUGCAAUUUGCUUUACAAGUUAUCUUCGACAAUCUAAAGUCUGUCCCUAAUGUAUGAAUUCCACAAUAUGCAAAAUCAGAGGCUUACUUCAUCAUUUGUACGAAAAAGGGUUUAACUUCAAAAGUAACCAUCACAUGCGAUAAGAUAACUCAGGUACAUGUAUGAGCCUUGGAAGGUCAGAGUCCUUACCAAUAUUGUACCAAGUGGUAGGCCAAGGCAAGCAAAGUGAGGUUUUUUAGAUGAAGAGCUUCUUUGUGAGUCAGGUCUGAAUAGGAGAGCACAUGCUUAUGUCAGCCCCAAAUUCUACCAAACAUGAAACAUUGAUAGAUAUGCUUCUGUGAUGUUCUUUUUUGAGGCUCCAAUAAUACAGCCUCAUGUGUCAACUCGUCUCCCUCAGGCCACAAGAGUCUUGUCCUGGAGAUUCCAGAGUGCUGCAAAGUCACAUAAGCAAACAUCCAAAUCAAUAGCUUGGCGGGUUUGAUCAAACUCCAAACUGAAUUAUGAAUGACUGUGAUAAGAGUUCUCCACAGAUGGGCUCUACGCAUCUUGUUAAGUCUGUAGGCAUUCCUGAAACCUGAUUAAGCAAAAGACUAAUUGCAUAUCACAAAAUGAGAUAUGAGCGCUCUUUGGAACUGCAGGCAGUGAUACACAAACCAUCAUACAUUGAUACUUCACAAAAGUACAUCUUGAUAUGUCAGAUACUAUGAGAGUUCUUUCGGUAAUCCGUAUUGCUACUACCAAUGUACUCUACAAUGCUAAAGAAGAAAAAUGAAAAAGAAGAAGAAAAAGCAUCGCUAUAACUUAAGAAAACCUAAAGAUUAAUAAUAAUAACAUCUUCUCCAAUUCGUAUGAGCUUUAAAUCCAACCAUUGCUCCUUGCUUUAUCACAGUAACUCCUCCACAAUCUAUAAUCCUACAACUUCUUACCUGUACAACAACAAAGCACAACUGAAGUUUCAGUAAACUCAUCAAUCACACAAUGAAUAAAGAGUAUAAUGCCCCCAAAGUUUCAUCUCAAGAUAAAAAUGAAAACUUGACCUGAAGCAGCUCUUCGUUUCCCAAGUUUAGAUUUCUCAAGCUCCAAUUGCAUCUCCAUCAACAUAUUCAUUCGUUGUAACUCAAGCUCCUUUGCAACUUCCAUUCUCUGCUUCUCCAAUUCAAUCAUCAUCUGUUGCUUCUUACCCUCGAUUCUUUCAAACGCUUCCCCUAACUUCAGAAUCGACCUCGCUAAUUCCCUAAAGGCUGAUCCUUCACUCGGAUCUACAUCUUCAACUUUACGAUGCUUCCUCACCACAAAUCCCCAAUCACCCGCAUCAUCAUCAUCUUCUUCGUCAUCAUCAUCAUCAUCAUCAUCGUCGUCAAGAGAGCUUCCAGUUGAUUUAGAUCCAGUAGGAUUCAAAUUAGGGUUCAUAAAAGCCGAUUUAACAACGCCACCGGACGAUUUCUUCAUAACCGGACCGAUUAAGAAAUCGAGUCUAUCAAAGAAGCACCAAUUCGAUAAAGGUUUCGCCUUUUCAGUUUUGUACUUCUUCUUCAACGUAUCGAUCCGGUUUUUGCACUGCACGUCGGUCUUUGGCCGGCCAUUCCCGUGGCUAGAAUUAACGGCGUCGGCGACUUCUUUCCAAUCGUUUUGCCGGAGAUUCCCACGGUUGAGAUUGACGUAACGAUCUCCCCAAGCUUCGAUCAAUGUCGCCGUCGCGUCUUCGCUCCACCAAUCCUCUCUUCCCGCCGGUAGACGGUUAGACCCGCUCUGGUGAGUCUUGGACUGAGUCUCCGGCGUCGUCUCCAUCUCGGAGGGGGGAGGAGAGGAGGCUAACGUGCGCGGUGGAGAAUGAGGCUUAGGAUAAGAAUUUCUGUUGGAUCGGAUUUUUGGUAAAGUUAAAGAGAAAUUACGGUUAAAGGAGAGAUUUUGAUUACCGGCGGUGACGUCAGCAACGGCGAUUAUCUUCUUUCUCCUACCUCUGCUAACCGAUUCAAUCACUCAUACCUGAAACCGGUUUUCAAUAACCGGUUUAGUCAUAAAUUUGAGUCCUACUUACUAGUAUGGUCGAUGUCAAGCUUCUUUUAAUGCGUUUCUAUGGGUAAUGAUGAUAGAUUACAUUAUUAAACUUAUAGUGAUUGAUAAUAACGUUUAAGCGAUUUGGAUUAAUGAUUAGGGCUAGAAUCUCAUCAGCUCAUGUCAUUAUAGGAAAUCUUAAACGUAUAUUUUGUGUAUUCUAGGAAAGAAUACAAAAGAUGAGGUCGUAUUAGUUUUGGUAUAGUAGUUUUUAAUGUCAUAAUUGGAAAGAAAUGUUAUAGAAUAAUAAGAAAAUUUAUGUUUUUUUUAACGUAUUCAUCAUUCAUGUAACGCUGUGAGUAAGUGGAGUUUGGAAGUGAAAAAUGGUGGUAUGUAAUUAAGGAAAUAGGCGAGUAGGCAAAUUGUUAGGUGAGAGAGAACAUCCCAAACGUGUUAGGUCGUAGACUAUAAUAUUGUAUGUUUCGUGCCUUGUCUAAUUGUCCUUUUGCUGUCUCACCAAUUGAUGAUAUCUGUUAAGUCCAUGCCUAACUACUAAUGUUUUUGUAACUACGAAAAUCUCGCUGAAAUGUUUGGAAAAAAUCUGAGGUUUUUUUUUUGUCAAUCAAAGUGUACGAUGGUCUCGAAUCUCGAUGAAGUGCUAAUAGAAGAAAACCAUUGUAUAUUUCAUUUCAAAAUUUCUUAUGAUAACGCAAAAUGUGAAAGAUAAAUCAUGAUUUACAGGUUAUCAAAGUGAUGUGAGUUGAAACGUUUAAAACACUAUCUAGUUUAACAAUGGCUGCAAUGUAAUAUGGUUUUUACGAUAAAUGCAUGCAACCAUCCGUAAUAUACAUAUAUAUAUAUAUAUAUAUAUAUAUAUGUAUGAGUCGUGGAAGAACCAAAUCAUAUUCACCACUACAGCACGUCGUAGCUAGUAUAGAAUAAAGAGCUCAAAGAAAAAGGAACGUUAUAUAUAUGAUCAGAUUUCAUGCUUAUGUUCUACAUAUUAUGGUUUUUCUAUCGACUGGCUUCCAUGUUUUUUUGCUAAGAGGGCUUCCAUGUUAAUGCUUUUGUAUGCAUUAUAUUCGAUCUAUUUUUACUCUUAGAUCACGUUACAUUUAUAUCAUAUAUAUCACAUCCUGCUGCCAAGUAAUCGAGUUAAUUGUGGUCGAGUAUAUACGUCGUGAAGCAAUUUACAAAUAACAAAACGUAGCCAAUUUUGUUUUUAAGCAUAAUUUAGUACUCCCUCUGUUCCUGAAAAUUUGAUGUUUUGGUUUUUCUCCUUGUUCAUGAAAGUUUGAUUUUGUACAAUUUAUUUAAUGUAUUUAUUUUAUUUAAAUUAAUUAAUGAUAAAAAGUGGAGUUGAGUGUGUUUUUGGAUGUGUACGUAACUCCUACUUUGCAUGUGUUAGUAACACAACACACGUUAUCUGACAUUUCAAUAAUGAGAUGUUUUAAUUAAAUAAUACAGAAUUUUUUUUUUUAAUUUAUGUGCAAAUCUUAAAACAUCAAAUUUUCAGGAACAGAGGGAGUAGUUAACAAUGCUAUUUUUAAUAUCUUUUGUUAUGUUGCUACCAUAUCUGGAUAUUGAGAAACAUACAAACGUGCAUGUUGCCUAAUAUAGUCUUUAAUAUUGUUCCGAAAUUAAUUAAGAAAAAUACAAACAAUCUUACUUGUGGAAGCUGUUUAACUCAAAUAAAUAUUCUCUUUCUGUUAUUUUUAUUAAAAUUAUCAACACAUACAAUCACGUGACUGACAUUAACUGUAUUAUACUAUAUAUAUUACACCGUGUUCACAAUCAACGGCCAGAAUUAAGAAACAACCGAUCGCAAACCGGAACAUGACGUCAUCUUCACCGUCUCCACAAGCCUCGAUGAUUUUGUACUGGCAUGAGAACCAAUACGACGACCGCAACUUCCAGAUUCAUGGCCGGACACUCUUCUUCGCCAUGGCUCUAUUUUCCGUUGUCAUCUUCUUCGCACUACUCACUCUCUACAUCCACCGGAACUGCCUCUCCCGGAAUUCUCUUAAUCUCCACGCACCCUCUUCUGAUCAACACACACGUUGUGCUGGCGGAGG